GCGAUCAUGGAUGCCGGACAUUCAUCGCGCCUUGCGGGCGCCAGGUGGGGACCGGUCCGCCUCGGUUCCAACCCGCGUGGGCACGC
This 86-nucleotide transfer RNA is filed under the name Mesorhizobium sp. 113-3-9. RNAcentral's name for it is "tRNA-Ala". Lineage: Bacteria; Pseudomonadati; Pseudomonadota; Alphaproteobacteria; Hyphomicrobiales; Phyllobacteriaceae. The record is from RNAcentral.